GUGUCAGCAGCCGCGGUAAUACGUAGGGAGCGAGCGUUGUCCGGAAUUACUGGGUGUAAAGGGAGCGUAGGCGGGACAGCAAGUUGGAUGUUUAACAUAUCGGCUCAACCGAUAUCUGCAUCCAAAACUGCAGUUCUUGAGUGAAGUAGAGGCAGGCGGAAUUCCUAGUGUAGCGGUGAAAUGCGUAGAUAUUAGGAGGAACACCAGUGGCGAAGGCGGUCUGCUGGGCUUUAACUGACGCUGAGGCUCGAAAGCGUGGGGAGCAAACAGGAUUAGAUACCCUGGUAGUCCACGCUGUAAACGAUGAUUACUAGGUGUGGGGGGACUGACCCCUUCCGUGCCGCAGUUAACACAAUAAGUAAUCCACCUGGGGAGUACGGCCGCAAGGCUGAA
RNAcentral lists this ribosomal RNA (393 nucleotides) under uncultured bacterium. RNAcentral's name for it is "bacterial SSU rRNA". It matches the Rfam family "Bacterial small subunit ribosomal RNA", at positions 505 to 898 of the family's 1533-position model. The record is from RNAcentral.